CCUAAAAAAAUUGAAAGAGAGAACUCUCUAUAAUUUUCCCUUGUUGGUGAGAUUUCACCACCACUCACGGUGGUCAUAACUCGAAAUAUUUAUCCUAAAACAAUCUUUUUCUUUCCUAAACCUAAAAAUACCCACCAUUUAAUUGAAAAUCGCUCCCCUCGUCCUAGAUCUAAGGAUUUCUGUGGGUUACUUUCGUUUUUUUUUUGACAAAGUUUCUCAUUCAACGACGACCGCUCUUCACAUGAGAAAAGGGGCACAGGAGUAAUGGUUCAAUAAUGGCUACGACUUCAGGAAAUCUAGUAACCAGCGACAAUAAUGGCUUCAUCGGCAACGGUCAGUGGUGAUGACAACGAAAAGAUGAUGAAUAUUAAGGGUGCGUUUGGUUUACGGAAUGUAAGAUUACUAGUAGAAAUAUGAUUACCGGUGGAAUAUGAUUACCGGCGGGAAUAAGAUUACUGGGAAUGUUGUAUUUUAUGUUUGGUUCGUUUAACAUGAAUGUAAGA
Long non-coding RNA from Hibiscus syriacus, 503 nucleotides. RefSeq lists it as uncharacterized. The record is from RefSeq and is a predicted model, not a curated record. NCBI's taxonomy places the organism in Eukaryota, Viridiplantae, Streptophyta, Magnoliopsida, Malvales, Malvaceae. The transcript is spliced from 3 exons.